CGGAAGUAAAGUCGUAACAAGGUCUCCGUAGGUGAACCUGCGGAAGGAUCGUUAAUAAAUGGUCUACGUUUUUUAAGUAGACGCUUAAUAAUCCUACCUUUGUGAAUUUGUUGUUUGAAAUAAUUUUUUUUAAAUUAUUGAUUGUCUUUCCUGUUGAAUUGGUUGUCUUAAUGGCAAAUGAUUCGCAGGGAGUGUCAGUAAUUUUUAAAAAGACCUUUUUAAAAUUAACUUUUGUAUUCAUUUGUCUAAAAUUAUUUUAUAAUAUAAAACAACUCUUGACAAUGGAUCUCUUGGUUCUCGCAACGAUGAAGAACGCAGCAAAAUGCGAUAAGUAGUGUGAAUUGCAGAAUACGUGAAUCAUCGAAUCUUCGAACGCAUAUUGCACUUUUUAGUUUACUAAAAAGUAUGUCUGUUUGAGUAUCAGUAAAUAUUCUCAUAAAACUUUUGUUUUUAUGGUUAUGAGUGUUUACAACGAUACAAGUUGUUUCACUUUAAUUUUUUUAAAAUUUGAAUUUUCUAAUUUAAAUAAAAUUGGAUAAAUUUCCCGUAAAAAGGAAUAACCUAAACAAUUUUAAUUUUGAUUAGAAUUCUUCAAUUAUAAGGAAAUUUAACUAAUAACUUGAUCUCAAUCAGAUAAGAGUACCCGCUGAACUUAAGCAUAUCAAUAAGCGGAGGAAAGAAACUAACAAGGAUUCCUUAGUAACGGCGAGUGAAGCGGGAAGAGCUCAAAUUGAAUCUUCAAGUUUUACCUUGACGAAUUGUAGUUUAAGAAGUGUUUUCUGUUGAAGUUUUGGUAAAAGUUCUAUGGAAUAGGACAUCAUAGAGGUGAGAAUCCGUAUUUGACCAUUAUUUCAGCUGUGUGAUACACUUUCAAAGAGUCGGAUUGUUUGGGAAUGCAGUCCAAAUGGGUGGUAAAUUUCAUCUAAGCUAAAUAUUGGCGAGAGACCGAUAGCGAACAAGUACCGUGAGGAAGAUGAAAGAACUUUGAAAGAGAGUUAAACAGUACGUGAAUUGUCAAAAGGGAAGCGUUUGACACCAGUGUUGUUUUCUCGAAAUCAAUUAAAAAAGUUGGAUUUGUGUUGUAUUGACCUUAACAGCUUGCUUCACUCUUUCUUGCUUUUUUUAAUGCACUUUUCGUUUAACAAGUCAACAUCAGUUUCUUUGUUGUAAAAGGUCAUUGGAAGGUGGCUUUCUCUUCGGAGAAAGUGUUAUAGCCUUUGAUCUCUGCAAUCGGAGAGACUGAGGUCUGCAGCGUAGAUCCUUCGGGUUAGAUACAUUUGUGCUAAGCUACAGCUUUUCAUAGACAACUUGUUGACUAUGUUUAGUCUUGUAACUUACCCGCUUAUGCUAUUUACCUACGCUUAGGAUGUUGAG
Molecule: unclassified non-coding RNA, 1374 nt
Filed under: uncultured Neocallimastigales
Lineage: Eukaryota; Fungi; Neocallimastigomycota; Neocallimastigomycetes; Neocallimastigales
Description: partial contains small subunit ribosomal RNA, internal transcribed spacer 1, 5.8S ribosomal RNA, internal transcribed spacer 2, and large subunit ribosomal RNA
Rfam family: Eukaryotic large subunit ribosomal RNA (bases 621-1374)
Source: RNAcentral